AGACAUCAUUAAAGAGCUUGACAACAUGGUAAAAGAGAAAAUAUUGGAUAGGUUUAAAAAUAUAGGCCUGAUAUCAUGAAGGAAUAUUAUUUUGUUGUGCAUAUAUAUAUAUAUUAAAGAUGACCUCUUCUUAGGAAUAGUGUCGGUUUCCGGUCAUUUUAUCUCCACACCUGUAGUUAAUCGAUCCUUCCAGUUUCUUCCUUCCACUGCCUUAUCCAAACCUUCUGCUUCAAGCCACCGUUUUCCAUGGAUUAGGGUUCGAUUUUCGUUUUAACAAACGUCUGAGGUACUGCUAACCCCCAUUUCCCUCUUUCAACUUCGAUUCAUUUUUUGUGCUUCAUAUACUUCUGCCUCCUCGACCUCCCAAUUAGUUGUUUACAUAUUUCCUUGCACCCACCAAACCUCACCGUUGAAGCCCUCCAAAAAUAUGCUUCAUCGGCUUCUUGCGUAACCUAUUUCGAAACGGAGGAGAUAUUGAAGAUGGGUUCCAAUUAACCGCCGGCGACUGCUCAAUCGUCAAAAUCCCCGCCAAUAGAGGCAAGCCGACGACACCGUAAAGUAAGUAUUUCCCCCAAAUUCUCUCAUGUUUUAAUCUUUUCAUCUCUAUCAUCCUUGAACCCUAAAACACCACUUCUCACCGGUUUUAGGGGUUCAAAUGCUAUCAUGUUAGGUAUAUUGAGCAGAUGAGUUUCUUGAUUUGAUAAAAAUUUUAAAGUUUAUGAUACAUAAUUGAUUUUUAUUUGUGCCACUUGAGUUUUAUGGAGUAAGAUGAAACUGGAAUGAUUUGUUUGGGUGUAUGUUGUUUUUAGAUAUAAAUAUACAUAUGCUUGGAUUUUGGUAUAAAUUGGUUUCCAUUGGGUUUCAUUUCAAUUUUCAUUUUCUCUUUCUUCCACAUAGGCGCUUACAGUUUUACUGUUCGAUUUGGGUUUAGUUUCGGUUUCCUGGCUCAUCUUUGUUUAGAAUACAAAAAAAAAAAAAAAAACGAAUCAGUGAGAGGUAGGACCAAAUAUCAUCAGGUUGCUUUGCCAUUUCUGCUAUGGUUUUUUCCUCCUCCUAAAGCUCAAGAAACAAGGAGAGUUAGGAACGAAAAAAAUCUAGAAUUCAAAAGUAAGAAGGCAAAAGUCUGGUCCGGUCUUCUCCAUUUCGGCUCCACAAACUUUGAUCUUACUGGGAAUUCCACUUUUUCAUUGCAUGUUAUACAUGGAGUAUAGUUGGCGGGCUGCUACAUGCCCCAUUGACAUUGCGUAUUAUUGAAAAGUUCAAUAUUUCAACCAGGUGCAACAGUUACUUCAUGUUUGAUGUUGUCCAUGAUGCGUGUAAAUAUUUCCCUUUCUUUUUUUCUUUCUUCUUCUUCUUCUUUUGUAUCUGUUAAUGAUAUUUAUAAACUGAGUUGCAGGUGAUUACCUUAACAACACAAAAUAAUGGCUUUUCACUCAUUCUAAUCUUUCCAGGUAACUUCCCUAACUGAUUGGCACGCUGAGUUUUUGGUCGACCCUGCAAUUGCUGCUCAUUUUAAUCAUUCUAAUAUAGGUGUAUGCUUUUGAUUCAAUUCCAGAGUGAUCUAUUUGGAAUCGUAGGUUUUCGCUCUAGGCUUUUUAUGAGGUUUAUAGUCUUAGUAAAAUAGCGUCAAACCAACAUUGUCCUCUUGAGAUUGUUGUUUACAGGUCAACUUAGACAUGAGGUAAACAAUAAUAUUCAUGUAUUAGUCCAAAUGUUGUGUGUUGUUGCACCACAUGUGUUUAAUGAGAUGUGUACAUGAAAUUUCUAAGUAAAAAAAAUCUAAUUCACUUUAUUUUACAUGGUUCCAGGGUCUACUUGUAUGGUCUAUUUCAAAAGUAUGAUAACGAAGAUAUAGAGUUCUUGUAUGAUCUAUUUCAAAAGUAUGACAAUAUUUAGGCAUAUAGUUUCAUAAGUUGCUUAUCUGUUCUUGAUUAGUUCUGAUUUUUUUGGGUAUUAUUAUUAGGGGUAAGAUUGAUAUGGGAAGGUAGGUAAUAAAUUUAUUGUCAGAAAGUUCAUUUUUUUAGUGAAUUAUGCCCUUGCUGUUAGUUUUUUAAAGCAAAAUCUUAUAUUGUAAUGCUUCUCUUUUGAUGGAUUGUUACCAAUUAGUAAAAAAAAUAUAUAUAAAUGGGUGGUCAUUUUGACACAUCUUAUUUAUGCAUGCUAAUCAUAAUUUAUAUAUUCAUCACUUUGUGCUUUUCAUUUAUUUUUGUCACUGUUACAAAAUGUUCAAGAUCCUACUCUUCUAAGAAAGGGUAAACGAAAUUGAUUCCAUCACCAUCAACAACAAAGUCACUGGAUCAUAUCUUAAACAGUAAGAUUUUUUUUAAUCCUUUGAAUUUUUUUAUAAAGGAGCAUAAUGAAACAUCUACACAUGUAGUAUUAGGAGAGGUAAGAAGAUGAUUUUCAUUUUUCUUAAAAAAAGCAUUGUAUGUCUAUAAGUAAACUUUUUCCAGCAAGUGCAGUUAUGAUUCCUCUUGGUGAUCCAUUAUCAGAAAUGGGUGUUGUAAUGUUGUGUUGAAAUACAAAGAUAACAAAGAAGGGUAAAACUAUUAAAAUUUGGUGAAUUAUUGUUGUUUGGCAGGAUAUCAAAGCUAUUAUCACUGCUGGAGAGGUUUAGAUCUCUUCCCUUCUUAACCUUAUUAUCCCUUUAAAAUCAUUUAGCCACAUUUCUUGCUAUAGGUAUUUGGUAUGCAGGUUCUUAUGUAUUUGGAACUUUUAACAUGUGUGUUGCUCCGACACCCAUCAUUUGAAUUCUGAGCACGACAAUUUUCCCAGAGGCCUUUUGCAGCUUUCAUGUUGGUCAUACUACACAAUCAGAAACGAUGUUUAUCCUGCCUUUGAUGAGCUUACACCAGAGGUGUUGUAGUGUUAUGACAUUUGUCACCCCUGACCUGCCGGUCUAACUAUAGCUAAUAGUUUAGGCGCGAGGUUGUCAAUCCCGUAUAGAUCUAUACACAAGUAUCACAUUCUGCCUCCAAGAGAUUAUGGUAUAUAAUACAGGACUUGAAAUGCAUACAUAAGUGUACGUUGAAGUUUGAAUGUCUCACAUUGCUUGGUAUAAAUAGAUUUACGAUAAGAAAGACUUUACUUUAUUUGAAAGUAUUUCGCUUGUCAAGAUGUAUAUGUAACAAUGUAUGAAUAACUUGUUAACUAUACUCAUUAUAGUUUCUCAGAAAGUAUGUUUCCAUUUAGUAAAAAUAACUUGGUGAUAUAA
Lactuca sativa (garden lettuce) is the source of this 3214-nucleotide non-coding RNA. The record is from RefSeq and is a predicted model, not a curated record. Lineage: Eukaryota; Viridiplantae; Streptophyta; Magnoliopsida; Asterales; Asteraceae.